AGCUGCGAAGAUGGCGGAGUAAGGCGUGCCGCUGCAAACUGGCCUCUGGGCCGGGGGCGAGCAGCCCCCGGGAGGCCGAGUGCAUCUGUUGGACCGUGCGAGGAGAAGAAAAAAAAUAUCGGCCAGAGGAGAGGAACUAACCGAACAUUCUUCCUCCCUACCUUAUAGAGGGGAGUGGUCAUCUACACUAAAGCAAAGUGUUAGGCGCGUCCGUGCGAAGAGACCACCAAACAGGCUUUGUGUUCCUUAUCACAGGAAGAAAAUUUUCCUUGACCUUUAGGUGCUUUUAUAUUCAUCUCAAAAACAAAAUUCUGAACUCAGGACUUGGCAAGUGUCUCUAUGUUGUCUCCUAGAGUGGGUAGUCCUGCUUCUUUUACCCAGUUACUUUCCCGUUUUUGAAAUGUGGCUAUCACUUCUCUACACAUUACCUCCAUGAUUUGGAAUGGAAAAGGCCACUUUUCUUUUUGUUCUGCCUCUCAAAUUCAACACAGAGGAGCUCCUAGGAUUCCAGUUAUCCUGCUAACAUCUCCAGGAAGAAAGAAGCAACUCACAUGGGUCUUUUGCUGUUUGCUUAAUUAUAAAGACAUCAUUUUGCAAGCAGAAGGCUGAGUUUCAUUUGAAACAGGUGCUUAGGUGGUGGUAUUUGUGAAUACUUUUCAUUCCAAGCAAGAAGACUAAAGAAGUAGCAAGUAUGAAUGACUUCAGGGUUUAAAAAAAAUGUCUUCCAGUUUCAGCCACUACCAUGAUAAGCACAGUUGAGACUGCAGCAGUAAAUUCCAAAUAUGUGUUUCUAAUUUGACGUGAAAGAUACUAAAAAUUUAUAUUUGUAUAUUUAAAUCCUGGCUCAUCCUGUGACAUAGAUUUACUGAAUAGGAACAAAGGCCCAAUUUUAAACAAAAACCUAGGCCGGGUGUGAGCCACUGCACCUGGCCUGUAGUAGCUUAAAAUUUUCCUUGAGAAAAUUCCUGACUUUAAAAAUAACCCUUAUAUAAGUACAAGUGAUUGUGACAAAUGACGUAAAAAUGGCAUUCAUGAUGUCUGAAACAAGCCUAAAUAGAAUUCAAGAUUAGACUAAAUGAUUUUCACAAAGCACAUUCAAGGUUUUACAUUCUAUGAUUGAAAAAAAUUUUUUGAAAACUUUUUAUUUCAUUCUUUCCUGUAGGAUUUUGCUACAAAUAACUUUGGGAAUGAAUAAAGUGGAAUGGUAACUUUCCAGUGGUUCAGAAUUGAAUUAGACUUCUUGUGACUGUGAUGUUUGGUUUCCAUUGAAAUAUAUGAAGUGAGAUGUCAUAUCCUGAAUAUAGUUUGUCUUCCCCAAUUACUUGAUAGCAUGUCUGUCAGCCAGUAAAGAUUAAGAACAGAGUUUCUCUAAAUUCCUCCGAUUAUUCCACUAAGGCACAUUAAAAUACUUAAUUUUGGGAAACCAGACAUCACAGAUUUCUCCAUGAAGUCCUAAAUCUUCUUUAAAGUCAGAAUAGGUAUCUUAGUUACUGACAGUAUUCAGGUUUUUUUCUCCCUUGGUGAUAUGUCAUUCCAUCAGUGAAAAAAUAUUUUCUCCCAGGGAUAAGAAAGGUAUUCUGGUAAUACAUUAUCAUCAAUCCUUAAACAGUAACAGUCUUGGCACUUAUCACAAAACCGACCCAUUUCUUAUAACCAGAAAGAUUAUCUUAGACUGUCCUUCACAUUAUACUUUACCUACUGCCUUGUAAGAAUAAGAGUUGCUCACUGUGUUUACUUGCUGUCCUCCAUAUUCUCCAUUGCACCAUUGGUGUAUAACGUUAAGAGUUUCAUUGAAUAUUAUUUUAAGUAUUACAAAAGGCAGCUUGCUUCUUAAUCUAUGCAUCUUUGGGGUUUUUGAAGAAAUUUAAUUCUUUGAUGUAAAAAGGAACUGUUAAAAAAGUUGGAAGCUCUGCACCUGUGUAUAUAUAUAUUUUAGCAAUAAAGCAGCAUGGGCUGAGAAUGCACUGAAA
RNAcentral lists this long non-coding RNA (1970 nucleotides) under Homo sapiens (human). RNAcentral describes it as "OIP5 antisense RNA 1". Lineage: Eukaryota; Metazoa; Chordata; Mammalia; Primates; Hominidae. The record is from RNAcentral.